UUAAGCGACUAAGCGUACACGGUGGAUGCCCUGGCAGUCAGAGGCGAUGAAGGACGUGCUAAUCUGCGAUAAGCGUCGGUAAGGUGAUAUGAACCGUUAUAACCGGCGAUUUCCGAAUGGGGAAACCCAGUGUGUUUCGACACACUAUCAUUAACUGAAUCCAUAGGUUAAUGAGGCGAACCGGGGGAACUGAAACAUCUAAGUACCCCGAGGAAAAGAAAUCAACCGAGAUUCCCCCAGUAGCGGCGAGCGAACGGGGAGCAGCCCAGAGUCUGAAUCAGCUUGUGUGUUAGUGGAACGGUCUGGAAAGUCCGACGGUACAGGGUGAUAGUCCCGUACACCAAAAUGCACAGGUUGUGAACUCGAAGAGUAGGGCGGGACACGUGGUAUCCUGUCUGAAUAUGGGGGGACCAUCCUCCAAGGCUAAAUACUCCUGACUGACCGAUAGUGAACCAGUACCGUGAGGGAAAGGCGAAAAGAACCCCGGCGAGGGGAGUGAAAAAGAACCUGAAACCGUGUACGUACAAGCAGUGGGAGCACCUUCGGGUGUGACUGCGUACCUUUUGUAUAAUGGGUCAGCGACUUAUAUUCUGUAGCAAGGUUAACCGAAUAGGGGAGCCGAAGGGAAACCGAGUCUUAACUGGGCGUUAAGUUGCAGGGUAUAGACCCGAAACCCGGUGAUCUAGCCAUGGGCAGGUUGAAGGUUGGGUAACACUAACUGGAGGACCGAACCGACUAAUGUUGAAAAAUUAGCGGAUGACUUGUGGCUGGGGGUGAAAGGCCAAUCAAACCGGGAGAUAGCUGGUUCUCCCCGAAAGCUAUUUAGGUAGCGCCUCGUGAACUCAUCUUCGGGGGUAGAGCACUGUUUCGGCUAGGGGGUCAUCCCGACUUACCAACCCGAUGCAAACUGCGAAUACCGGAGAAUGUUAUCACGGGAGACACACGGCGGGUGCUAACGUCCGUCGUGAAGAGGGAAACAACCCAGACCGCCAGCUAAGGUCCCAAAGUCAUGGUUAAGUGGGAAACGAUGUGGGAAGGCCCAGACAGCCAGGAUGUUGGCUUAGAAGCAGCCAUCAUUUAAAGAAAGCGUAAUAGCUCACUGGUCGAGUCGGCCUGCGCGGAAGAUGUAACGGGGCUAAACCAUGCACCGAAGCUGCGGCAGCGACGCUUAUGCGUUGUUGGGUAGGGGAGCGUUCUGUAAGCCGUUGAAGGUGGCCUGUGAGGGUUGCUGGAGGUAUCAGAAGUGCGAAUGCUGACAUAAGUAACGAUAAAGCGGGUGAAAAGCCCGCUCGCCGGAAGACCAAGGGUUCCUGUCCAACGUUAAUCGGGGCAGGGUGAGUCGACCCCUAAGGCGAGGCCGAAAGGCGUAGUCGAUGGGAAACAGGUUAAUAUUCCUGUACUUGGUGUUACUGCGAAGGGGGGACGGAGAAGGCUAUGUUGGCCGGGCGACGGUUGUCCCGGUUUAAGCGUGUAGGCUGGUUUUCCAGGCAAAUCCGGAAAAUCAAGGCUGAGGCGUGAUGACGAGGCACUACGGUGCUGAAGCAACAAAUGCCCUGCUUCCAGGAAAAGCCUCUAAGCAUCAGGUAACAUCAAAUCGUACCCCAAACCGACACAGGUGGUCAGGUAGAGAAUACCAAGGCGCUUGAGAGAACUCGGGUGAAGGAACUAGGCAAAAUGGUGCCGUAACUUCGGGAGAAGGCACGCUGAUAUGUAGGUGAAGUCCCUCGCGGAUGGAGCUGAAAUCAGUCGAAGAUACCAGCUGGCUGCAACUGUUUAUUAAAAACACAGCACUGUGCAAACACGAAAGUGGACGUAUACGGUGUGACGCCUGCCCGGUGCCGGAAGGUUAAUUGAUGGGGUUAUCCGUAAGGAGAAGCUCUUGAUCGAAGCCCCGGUAAACGGCGGCCGUAACUAUAACGGUCCUAAGGUAGCGAAAUUCCUUGUCGGGUAAGUUCCGACCUGCACGAAUGGCGUAAUGAUGGCCAGGCUGUCUCCACCCGAGACUCAGUGAAAUUGAACUCGCUGUGAAGAUGCAGUGUACCCGCGGCAAGACGGAAAGACCCCGUGAACCUUUACUAUAGCUUGACACUGAACAUUGAGCCUUGAUGUGUAGGAUAGGUGGGAGGCUUAGAAGUGUGGACGCCAGUCUGCAUGGAGCCGACCUUGAAAUACCACCCUUUAAUGUUUGAUGUUCUAACGUUGGCCCCUUAUCGGGGUUGCGGACAGUGUCUGGUGGGUAGUUUGACUGGGGCGGUCUCCUCCUAAAGAGUAACGGAGGAGCACGAAGGUUAGCUAAUCCUGGUCGGACAUCAGGAGGUUAGUGCAAUGGCAUAAGCUAGCUUGACUGCGAGCGUGACGGCGCGAGCAGGUGCGAAAGCAGGUCAUAGUGAUCCGGUGGUUCUGAAUGGAAGGGCCAUCGCUCAACGGAUAAAAGGUACUCCGGGGAUAACAGGCUGAUACCGCCCAAGAGUUCAUAUCGACGGCGGUGUUUGGCACCUCGAUGUCGGCUCAUCACAUCCUGGGGCUGAAGUAGGUCCCAAGGGUAUGGCUGUUCGCCAUUUAAAGUGGUACGCGAGCUGGGUUUAGAACGUCGUGAGACAGUUCGGUCCCUAUCUGCCGUGGGCGCUGGAGAAUUGAGGGGGGCUGCUCCUAGUACGAGAGGACCGGAGUGGACGCAUCACUGGUGUUCGGGUUGUCAUGCCAAUGGCACUGCCCGGUAGCUAAAUGCGGAAGAGAUAAGUGCUGAAAGCAUCUAAGCACGAAACUUGCCCCGAGAUGAGUUCUCCCUGACUCCUUGAGAGUCCUGAAGGAACGUUGAAGACGACGACGUUGAUAGGCCGGGUGUGUAAGCGCAGCGAUGCGUUGAGCUAACCGGUACUAAUGAACCGUGAGGCUUAACCUU
Molecule: ribosomal RNA, 2902 nt
Filed under: metagenome
Description: bacterial LSU rRNA
Rfam family: Bacterial large subunit ribosomal RNA
Source: RNAcentral